Non-coding RNA from Xenopus laevis (African clawed frog), 57 nucleotides. NCBI's taxonomy places the organism in Eukaryota, Metazoa, Chordata, Amphibia, Anura, Pipidae. The record is from Rfam.
GGCACUGGUGGUCGGCACUCCUGAUAAUCAGGAUGGGGUUCAAAUCCCUGCGGUGUC